RNAcentral lists this ribosomal RNA (707 nucleotides) under Roccellina hypomecha. Its description in RNAcentral is "SSU rRNA". It matches the Rfam family "Eukaryotic small subunit ribosomal RNA", at positions 109 to 826 of the family's 1831-position model. The record is from RNAcentral. Lineage: Eukaryota; Fungi; Ascomycota; Arthoniomycetes; Arthoniales; Roccellaceae.
GUUAUCGUUUAUUUGAUAGUACCUUACUACUUGGAUAACCGUGGUAAUUCUAGAGCUAAUACAUGCCAAAAACCCCAACUUCGGAAGGGGUGUAUUUAUUAGAUAAAAAGCCAACGCCCUCCGGGGCUCCGUGGUGAUUCAUGAUAACUUCACGAACCGCAUGGCCUUGCGCCGGCGGUGGUUCAUUCAAAUUUCUGCCCUAUCAACUUUCGAUUGUUGGGUAUUGGCCAACAAUGGUUACGACGGGUAACGGGGAAUUAGGGUUCGAUUCCGGAGAGGGAGCCUGAGAAACGGCUACCACAUCCAAGGAAGGCAGCAGGCGCGCAAAUUACCCAAUCCCGACGCGGGGAGGUAGUGACAAUACAUACUGAUACAGGGCUCUUUUGGGUCUUGUAAUUGGAAUGAGUACAAUUUAAAUACCUUAACGAGGAACAAUUGGAGGGCAAGUCUGGUGCCAGCAGCCGCGGUAAUUCCAGCUCCAAUAGCGUAUAUUAAAGUUGUUGCAGUUAAAAAGCUCGUAGUUGAACCUUGGCCCUGGCUAGCCGGUCCGCCUCACCGCGUGCACUGGUCCGGCCGGGGCUCCCCUCCUGGGGAUCCGUAUGGCCUUUGCUGGUCGUGUCGGGGAACCAGGACUUUUACUUUGAAAAAAUUAGAGUGUUCAAAGCAGGCAUCCGCUCGAAUACAUUAGCAUGGAAUAAUGGAAUAGG